Long non-coding RNA from Hylaeus volcanicus, 4272 nucleotides. RefSeq lists it as uncharacterized. The record is from RefSeq and is a predicted model, not a curated record. NCBI's taxonomy places the organism in Eukaryota, Metazoa, Arthropoda, Insecta, Hymenoptera, Colletidae. The transcript is spliced from 3 exons.
CGCCCGUCACCAUUGUUGCGGAAACAGCGGCGUGGUUGAUAUCCAUACUGUCAUCAUUCUGCUGAAGACAGGAUAUACGCUCCACGUGAUUGCAUAUUCGGCAUUGAACAUUGUACGUUUUUUCUAAUCCAUAUUGUUGACAUCCAAUUAUGUCAAAAUGUUCAACGCCGCAGCCUAUAGUCGAAUGUUUUUGCAAAUUUUUUAUUUGUUCGAAAACAUACGCAAAAUCGGCGGUCUAUUUCUUUGGAUAUUGAAUUUUUCGACUGUUGUGGUUCCGCUCGCUCUACCACAUAGUUACAGUUGUAACCUAUAGAAUUUCCGACAUCUUCAUUCGUUCCUUCCUGGAUGUCCAUUACGGAAGGUAUUUCGCAGCUGACUACCAGGUUAUUACCUUCCGUCACUGAUGUCGUUCUUUCUUCUUCGCUUUUGUUUAAAUCUGCGUUUUCAUUUUCCUCGAAAUUUACUUCGUCUAUAAUUUCUUGAGCCAUUUCAAUAUCUUCGAUAUUUUUUAUUUCUUCUUCGUGUCCUGCCAUAGCAAGAACUUCAUCCUCUUGGAAUGUUUUGUAGGAAGUACCUGCAGAAGUACCUGCUUCCUCCACGGUACUUCGACAUACCGCGAGGCACGCUGCUUUCUUUAAUUGCCGGCUAUACGAAAAAAAUCAAUAAUUAUAAUUAAUUAUAUGCGGGGCAUACAUAAAUGUAAGAAAAACGUAUUAUACAAAUGUACGAACAUGACAGAAAUUCGACAAUAAUACAGUAAUAAUACAUUAAUAAUACAAUAAUUCGAAUGAAUUUCUUAUUGGUAUGUUUACAUGUCACGUUCAAUGUGCCUUUCAUACAUUUUUGUGCCCUGUGCAUUACACUUUUGGUGACUUCUGCUAUUGUUGUUUGAGUGUUUAAAUGGGUCUCAAGGUCAUAAUGUGAUACAUCGUUGAAUUCAUUUUGAUACGCGCUUUCAUAUGAUAUAAUAAAUAUAUAUCAUUUCAUUUAAAAAACUGAAGGACACCUUCAUUUCUCAGAAAAUAGUACAAAUAUGAAAGAUAUAUAUACCUGGUUACAUUGAAUAUAAAAACCAGUAUCACUUUCUUCUCUUUCAUUUUUUUAUCAUAUGCACCAUUUACGAGAAAAACGCUGGUUAGUAAAUCUCUGAACACCCUUUAUACUGAUACAUUUACAUAUACAUAUAGUAUGUACUUUCGGAGAUACUUUUUAAUGAAAAUAUGUGCACAGGAAAAAAGCUUUAUUAUCAUAUGCGUAUACUUUUGACGUAUCAACGACUUUAUUAGGGAAGAAUUUAUAUUUUGUUUUACAGUUAUCCUUUACCACUUGCUUAACGGCAAAGGAACACCCCGCAAGUAUGCGCGGACACGCCGCACGUUUUCAAACCUUUGCGCAUUCGAAUUUUUACGCGCGCCGCUGACGCGUUCCUCGGUUCUUGGUGCAAGUGAAAUAGAAAAUAUUGAGUGACUGAGAGGGGGUAGUUUGGGCCCUUUCUACCCUCGAGACUAGCAGAGCCUCGAUCGUCAGUUGAAAAGUGAUCGUGAAACAGUGAACAACGUAAGUACCUUCACGCUUCUUACUAUCUCUGUGUUGUACACUAUGUGCGCCGGUAAUAUGAAAAUAGUCUAUCCCAAAUUUUCCAUUUAUUACAUUUUACUCAUUUUUUUCAUACUUUUUAGUGUAUUUUGAAGUCUGUUGUGUUUUGGUAAAAAUUAUUUUAUUUUUCAUCGCAUCAUGCGUUGGGUCAUGGAAUUAUUUAAUCAAAUUGUUUUCAUAUGUAAAUACGGGUAUGUAGAACAAUUUCUGAAAGUAGGAAGGUGCAACUCUCUUUCGUUUUCGAGAAAUAAAUUUUUAAAAAUAUCUAAAUUUCGAUUGAGGAGUGUCGCUGUAUAAGUGUUGGAGAUGUUAUAGAACUAUGUGAGCCUGGCACCCGACUUUUCAAAAAUUAAUUUUUUUUUUAAAGAAAAUGAUUGUAUUUCGCUUGUACUUGAUUGUACUAUCAAUAGUUUCGUUUGUACCUUCAUUAAUUAAUAAUUAAAAAAAUUCAAAAAAUGGUCAGCACCCGACAUUGAGAUUUUUGAAAUAUGUUUUUUCCCCAUUCUUUAGAAGCAUUUGUACCCGUUUGUACCGCUUUUCGUUUCGUUUGUACCACAAUAGUUUAAAUUUUACAAGCAAUUGUUGAUACGCGUAAGAGUGGAAAUCGUCAAUUUUCGAGAUUUUUAAAAUCUGUUUUUUCCUUAUUGUUUAGUAUCAUUUGUACCUAUUUGUACCGCUUUUCGCUUCGUUUGUAUCUCAAUAGUUUAAAUUUAUCUUAAUUCUAUCUUUUCUUUUACUUUUCAGAUGAACAAAGAAAGGUCUGCAUCCCCGGCGCCGGCCCCGGGUCCAGCAGCGCGGCAAAGCGGGAACGAGUCAUCCCCGGGUCCAGCAGCGCGGCAAAGUGGGAGCAAGUCAGCCCCGGAUGCGGCACGCGGCACAGCGUACAGAGGUCUGCCAGUGUACCGACGGUAAAGACAACGCUCGCGUCGAGAUCGAUGGAAGUAGAACAACUACAAAAAGAGCUCUCCAAAAUAAAAAAAAGAUAUAGAAAUUUAAAAUAUGGCCGCGGUGGGUCAAGAAGAGGGCGACGUGGCCGAGGCCGCAGAGGUGGUGGCCAAUGUACUAUAUAUAAUAACUAUUAUUAAAAUUGUGUAUUAAAUUUAAACUACUAUUAUAUCUUAUAUAUCUUAUAUUCUAUCAUUUUAUAUUAAUAAUAAUAAUAUUAUUAUAUAUAUUUUUUCCCUAUUCUUUAGAAUAGUUUGUACCCGUUUGUACCGUUUUUCGUUUCGUUUGUACCGCAAUAGUUUACAUUUUACACCAAUUGUUGAUAAGAGUGGAAAUUGUCAAUUAUCAAGAUCUUUUGCGCUGGAAGUAGUUCGAUCCCGGUAGGAGUCACUCAUUUUUUUUUUCUACUUUUUCUUCCGUUUGUACCAUGUUUUGUUAUGCAAACUACAUUUUUAUAUAUUAAGAUUAUUUUUAUACAAUAUUGUGCAAUGUUUAUGUUUUUUAUCGCAUUGAAAAAGAAGAAAGAAAGAAAAAGAAAGAAAUGAAAAAAAGAAGAAAGAAGUUGUGCAAUGUUUGUUUAAUAUAAUUAAAUUGUUAUUUACAAACUAUAAUGACGUAAGUUUUUAUAAAAGCUUGUAGAAACUCCUUUCAAAUCCUGACUUCUUUUUCGAAGCGAUAAAAAACAUAAAAAUUGUACAAAAUUGUAUAAGAAUAAUCUUAAUACAUGAAAAGGUAGUUUCCAUAACAAAACAUGAUACAAAUGGAAGAAAAAGUAAAAAAAAAAAUGAGUGACUCCUACCGGGAUCGAACCGCGUCCAGCGCAAAGCUAGAGUUUCGAAGCGACGACGAAAGUAGAAAGAAACAGUUCGAUGAAGAAGGAAGAGAGACUCAGAGUCGACGCUGGCAAAUGUAAGGAUACGGGAUCGGGAUGCUAAGCGCGAUUUCGACCUCAGUGAAAUGGCAACAGUGUAGAGAGACGCUGUUGUGAGAACGGCAACAUCGCAAUUGUAUCGACAUCACGUUAGCAGUCGUCCUCAGUAAGCGCCAUCUCCUAUCGAUUGUCUGAACUAAAUUUGUGACGUAACUUGCUCUGCAUUAUCGUCAAAAUGGUGGAACUCGUCUUUGGGAAUGUUUUUACGAUUUUUCGCUUUUUGUUCUUAUAUUAGCAUAUUUUGGGUUGAAUGAGGGCUCAUUCGAAAGAGGAAGGUCCAACGAAGGGUGCUCUGGUCAUCAUUCGAGUCACGAAAUCCAUUUAGUAACCUAAAAAUACUACCAUUCUACGGAUGUGUUUUGCUCGACUUUUGUUCAACUUUGGACGCUCAUAUUAUUAAAUAUCAACACACUAUCGUUCUAUCAUGACCAGAGCACUCUUCGUUGGACCUUCCUCUUUCGAAUGAGCCCUCAUUCAGUCCAAAAUAUGUUAAUAUAAGGACGAAAAGCGAAAAAUCGCGAACCCCUUUUUAGGCCCACUUUUGCCAGUAACGUCACCUCGCUGCAUUACCCGUGUCUAUCCCCUUAACCGGCAGCGAUCUAAACAUGUGCGCGUUACAAUGGACUCGCGACUAGAUGUUCGUUAUUUCGUGCGAUAACCUACGAAAAGGCGAUUUCCCGCUAACAAUGCUAUUUCGCCUGACUGGGUGCUCGGCAGCCACCAGGUAACCCGACCAAUCCACGAUAUCCAUGAGCGUGAGGUAAAGGAGGAAGCGCUUACCGUACCGUUCCGCACGUGCG